GUCAAUGGCCUAACGGCUGAACUGGCAACUUGGAGAAGUGGCAAGUCUUCCAGUAUGGGGAGCAAAACAGCUAUGGGUCAAGUCCGAUAUCUUUAGGAGAAGUCUUAUUGUGAGGGCGAGUUAUAUAACACCAUAGGACUGGCCGUCCCAUAUGAAAAGAUUAUAUUAGAAUUGAAUGAAGCUUUGUUUAUAUAUUGAUAAUGACAGUAUAUAUAUCGUGUCUUGACUAAUUGCGUGCCAGCAGUCGCGGUAAUACGUAAGAGACUAGUGUUAUUCAUCUUAAUUAGGUUUAAAGGGUACCCAGACGGUCAAUAUAGCUUAUAAAAUGUUAGUACUUGACUAGAGUUUUAUGUAAGAGGGCAGUACUUGAGGAGGAGAGAUGAAAUUUCGUGAUACCAAAGGGACUCUGUAAAGGCGAAGGCAGCCCUCUAUGUAAAAACUGACGUUGAAGGACGAAGGCACAGAGAACAAACAGGAUUAGAUACCCAAGUAGUCUUUGCAGUAAAUGAUGAAUGCCAUAGGUUAGAUUGGUCAAUUAUAGUCUAGGGUUAGUCUAGCAAACUAAUACCCUAUGCUAUAAUCCUAAUAUCUGGUCUAUAAAUGAAAGUGUAAGCAUUUCACCUCAAGAGUAAUGUGGCAACGCAGGAACUGAAAUCACUAGACCGUUUCUGACACCAGUAGUGAAGUAUGUUAUUUAAUUCGA
This 703-nucleotide ribosomal RNA is filed under the name Fusarium oxysporum f. sp. tulipae. RNAcentral describes it as "SSU rRNA". It matches the Rfam family "Bacterial small subunit ribosomal RNA", at positions 367 to 954 of the family's 1533-position model. The record is from RNAcentral. RNAcentral also lists the same sequence under 1 other name. Lineage: Eukaryota; Fungi; Ascomycota; Sordariomycetes; Hypocreales; Nectriaceae.